CACGGAACUUAUAUGUUACAUUAUUAUGAAAGUAGAACAAUGGUGGAUUUAAAAUCUUUUGAACAAAUUGUACGAACUCAUUACAGUGAUAUAUGGAGAGAGUCCUUGAUAAAUAAGCCAAAGCUACGAUCUUACUUAAACUUUAAAACAAACUUCGAACAGAGCACUAUGUAAAAACUAAAUCUUACGAAACACGAGCGAUCUGUGCUAGCCCAGUUUAGAUGCGGGAUAUUACCGAUCAGAAUUGAGACUGGUAGAUAUAUUGGGGAACCAGUAGAAAACAGACUGUCGUUUUUGUAACUCUCAAAAUGUUGAAAGUGAGCUACAUUUUCUUAUAAACUGCACAUUUUAUAAUGAUAUCAGACAAACUGUUUUUAGCGAGAUAUUAAUGGUGCCUGACUAUACGCAACUAGAUGACCAGGGAAAAUUAACAUUUCUAAUGGUGAACCAUCCAAGGAAAAUAGCUAAAUACUUAGCAGCGUCACUUUUCCGUAGAAAACAAACAGUUUACUCUAGUUAACAUUCUUAAACUUUUUUACAAACUUUAGAUGAAUUUAACAUUAUAUGAACUUUUACAAUCGUUAAUUCUUAAUCUAUAAUUAUCUGUAUUUAAAUUUGAAUUGGCAAUUGACACGUGAUAUUAGAACAUUUAUAUUGAACUAAAAGUAAAAGGUGACUUAUUGGUCCAUUGGGCCGGGUGUAUUAUAUAUGUAAUUAUAUUUUGUACAAAUUUAUAUAUUU
Molecule: long non-coding RNA, 741 nt
Filed under: Mytilus galloprovincialis (Mediterranean mussel)
Lineage: Eukaryota; Metazoa; Mollusca; Bivalvia; Mytilida; Mytilidae
Source: RNAcentral